UACAGAGGGGGCAAGCGUUAAUCGGAAUUACUGGGCGUAAAGGGCGCGUAGGCGGAUAAUCAAGCUGGAUGUGAAAGACCUGGGCUUAACCUGGGGGUGUCAUUCAUAACUGGUUAUCUGGAGUAUGGGAGAGGAGAGUGGAAUUCACAGUGUAGCGGUGAAAUGCGUAGAUAUUAGGAGGAACACCAGUGGCGAAGGCGACUUACUGGACUGUAACUGACGCUGAGUCACGAAAGCGUGGGUAGCAAAC
Molecule: ribosomal RNA, 250 nt
Filed under: uncultured bacterium
Lineage: Bacteria
Description: partial 16S ribosomal RNA
Rfam family: Bacterial small subunit ribosomal RNA
Source: RNAcentral